This 325-nucleotide ribosomal RNA is filed under the name uncultured eukaryote. RNAcentral's name for it is "partial 18S ribosomal RNA". It matches the Rfam family "Eukaryotic small subunit ribosomal RNA", at positions 1470 to 1796 of the family's 1831-position model. The record is from RNAcentral.
CCCUUAGAUGUUCUGGGCCGCACGCGCGCUCCACUGAUGCAUUCAACGAGCCUAUCCUUGACCGACAGGUCCGGGUAAUCUUUGAAUCUGCAUCGUGACGGGGAUAGAUUAUUGCAAUUAUUAAUCUUCAACGAGGAAUGCCUAGUAGGCGCAAGUCAUCAGCUUGCGUCGAUUACGUCCCUGCCCUUUGUACACACCGCCCGUCGCUCCUACCGAUUGGGUGUGCUGGUGAAAUGUUCGGAUCGGCCGUUUGUCGCGGUUUCCGCGUCAUGUGGCUGAGAAGUUCAUUAAACCCUCCCACCUAGAGGAAGGAGAAGUCGUAACA